CCCCUAGACGUUCUGGGCUGCACGCGCGCUACAAUAAUACGCACAGCGAGUAUCACCGAGCUCGAAAGGGCAAGGUAAACAAUAGAAAAGGUACUGUAAUGGUUAUAGAUCCUUGUAAUUAUUGAUCUUCAACGAGGAAUUCCUAGUAAGUAUGUGUCAUCAUCACGCACUGAUUACGUCCCUGCCCUUUGUACACACCGCCCGUCGCUCCUACCGAUUGAGUGAGCCGAUGAAACUGCCGGAUGUGGACUACUCAUAGUCUGCAGAAGAUAUUUGAAUCGUAGCGCUUAGAGGAAGGAGAAGUCGUAACA
This 311-nucleotide ribosomal RNA is filed under the name uncultured eukaryote. Its description in RNAcentral is "partial 18S ribosomal RNA". It matches the Rfam family "Eukaryotic small subunit ribosomal RNA", at positions 1470 to 1796 of the family's 1831-position model. The record is from RNAcentral.